AGAGUUUGAUCCUGGCUCAGGAUGAACGCUGGCGGUAUGCUUAACACAUGCAAGUCGAACGGAUGUUUUCGGACAUUAGUGGCGGACGGGUGAGUAACGCGUGAGAAUCUGGCUUCAGGUUCGGGACAACAGAUGGAAACGUCUGCUAAUACCGGAUAUGCCCAAGGGUGAAAGAUUAAUUGCCUGAAGAUGAGCUCGCGUCUGAUUAGCUAGUUGGUAGGGUAAAAGCCUACCAAGGCGACGAUCAGUAACUGGUCUGAGAGGAUGACCAGUCACACUGGGACUGAGACACGGCCCAGACUCCUACGGGAGGCAGCAGUGGGGAAUUUUCCGCAAUGGGCGAAAGCCUGACGGAGCAAUACCGCGUGAGGGAGGAAGGCUCUUGGGUUGUAAACCUCUUUUCUUAGGGAAGAAAACUGACGGUACCUAAGGAAUAAGCAUCGGCUAACUCCGUGCCAGCCGCCGCGGUAAUAC
RNAcentral lists this ribosomal RNA (474 nucleotides) under uncultured bacterium. RNAcentral describes it as "bacterial SSU rRNA". It matches the Rfam family "Bacterial small subunit ribosomal RNA", at positions 8 to 526 of the family's 1533-position model. The record is from RNAcentral.